This 385-nucleotide ribosomal RNA is filed under the name marine Metazoa environmental sample. RNAcentral describes it as "SSU rRNA". It matches the Rfam family "Eukaryotic small subunit ribosomal RNA", at positions 587 to 972 of the family's 1831-position model. The record is from RNAcentral. Lineage: Eukaryota; Metazoa.
AGCUCCAAUAGCGUAUACUAAAGUUGUUGCGGUUAAAAAGCUCGUAGUUGGAUCUUGGCGUGUGAGUGACUGUUCGAUCUACCGAUUGUACUGUUCUUCCCCCUCUUCUCUUCGGUUGCUUGUGUAGUGCCCUUAACUGAUUGCUGCACUCGACCGGAAUUUUUACCUUGAAAAAAUUAGAGUGUUCAAAGCAGACCUGAUUAUGUCUGAAUAUUCGUGCAUGGAAUAAUAAAAUAAGAACUUGGUUCUAUUUUAUUGGUUUUCGGAACUCGAGGUAAUGAUUAAGAGGGACAGACGGGGGCAUACGUACUCUGCCGUUAGAGGUGAAAUUCUUGGAUCGGCGGAAGACGAGCAACUGCGAAAGCAUUUGCCAAGAAUGUUUUCC